This 232-nucleotide ribosomal RNA is filed under the name uncultured bacterium. RNAcentral's name for it is "partial 16S ribosomal RNA". It matches the Rfam family "Bacterial small subunit ribosomal RNA", at positions 15 to 235 of the family's 1533-position model. The record is from RNAcentral.
GAUCAUGGCUCAGGAUGAACGCUAGCGACAGGCUUAACACAUGCAAGUCGAGGGGCAGCAUGAUUUGUAGCAAUACAGAUUGAUGGCGACCGGCGCACGGGUGAGUAACGCGUAUGCAACUUACCUAUCAGAGGGGGAUAGCCCGGCGAAAGUCGGAUUAAUACCCCAUAAAACAGGGGUCCCGCAUGGGAAUAUUUUGUUAAAAGAUUCAUCGCUGAUAGAUAGGCAUGCG